CGACUCCAAAGACACGUCACAUCAGGAUCGGUCGGCGGCGGAUUAGGUCGUGGCGGUGUAACGGACCACCAAGCCGAAGAUCCGUAAGGGCCAUGAAAGUGGUUGCCUGAGAGGGAAACUGAGACGCAGUUCCCAGCCCUACGGGGUGCAGCAGUCGGGAAAACUUCGCAAUGCACGCAAGUGUGACGAGGGGAUUCUCAGUGCUUAGGUUUAACCUAGGCUUUUGCCAAGAGCAAGAAUCUUGGCGAAUAAGUGGUGGGCAAGACUGGUGCCAGCCGCCGCGGUAACCCCAGCGCCACGAGUGGGAAUCGCUAUUAUUGGGUCUAAAGCAUCCGUAGCCGGUUUGUUAAAUGUUCUGUGAAAUCGUGGCGCUCAACGUCACGGUGUGCAGAGCACACUGACAAACUAGGGACCAGGAAAGGUAUUCGGUAUUCCGGGGGGAGCGGUAAAAUGUGAUAAUCCUCGGAGGACCACCAAUGGCGAAGGCAGAAUACUAGAAUGGAUCCGACGGUGAGGGAUGAAAGCUAGGGGAGCGAUCCGGAUUAGAUACCCGAGUAGUCCUAGCCGUAAACGCUGUCAGCCAGAUGUUGCACAAUCUUCGUGAUUGUGCAGUGUCGCAACGAAGGUGUUAAGCUGACCACCUGGGGAGUAAGGUCGCAAGACUGAAACUUAAAGGAAUUGGCGGGGGAGCAUUACCCGGGGUGCGGCGUGCGGUUCAAUCGAAUUCAACGCCGAGAACCUCACCAGGGGCGACGGCAGGAUGAUACUCAGUCUGAAGGGCUUAGUGGACGAGCCGAGAGGAGGUGCAUGGCCGGCGUCAGCUCGUGCCGUGAGGUGUCCUGUUAAGUCAGGCAACGAGCGAGACCUGUAUUUUUAGUUGCUCACGGGCCCGCAAGGGUGACCGCGCACACUAUGAAGACUGCCUGAAACA
This 931-nucleotide ribosomal RNA is filed under the name uncultured archaeon. RNAcentral's name for it is "bacterial SSU rRNA". It matches the Rfam family "Archaeal small subunit ribosomal RNA", at positions 183 to 1116 of the family's 1478-position model. The record is from RNAcentral.